This 1346-nucleotide ribosomal RNA is filed under the name uncultured bacterium. RNAcentral describes it as "partial 16S ribosomal RNA". It matches the Rfam family "Bacterial small subunit ribosomal RNA", at positions 28 to 1381 of the family's 1533-position model. The record is from RNAcentral.
GACGAACGCUGGCGGCGUGCUUAACACAUGCAAGUCGAACGGAAAGGCCCUGCUUUUGUGGGGUGCUCGAGUGGCGAACGGGUGAGUAACACGUGAGUAACCUGCCCUUGACUUUGGGAUAACUUCAGGAAACUGGGGCUAAUACCGGAUAGGAGCUCCUGCUGCAUGGUGGGGGUUGGAAAGUUUCGGCGGUUGGGGAUGGACUCGCGGCUUAUCAGCUUGUUGGUGGGGUAGUGGCUUACCAAGGCUUUGACGGGUAGCCGGCCUGAGAGGGUGGCCGGCCACAUUGGGACUGAGAUACGGCCCAGACUCCUACGGGAGGCAGCAGUGGGGAAUAUUGCACAAUGGGCGGAAGCCUGAUGCAGCAACGCCGCGUGCGGGAUGACGGCCUUCGGGUUGUAAACCGCUUUCGCCUGUGACGAAGCGUGAGUAACGGUAAUGGGUAAAGAAGCACCGGCUAACUACGUGCCAGCAGCCGCGGUGAUACGUAGGGUGCGAGCGUUGUCCGGAUUUAUUGGGCGUAAAGGGCUCGUAGGUGGUUGAUCGCGUCGGAAGUGUAAUCUUGGGGCUUAACCCUGAGCGUGCUUUCGAUACGGGUUGACUUGAGGAAGGUAGGGGAGAAUGGAAUUCCUGGUGGAGCGGUGGAAUGCGCAGAUAUCAGGAGGAACACCAGUGGCGAAGGCGGUUCUCUGGGCCUUUCCUGACGCUGAGGAGCGAAAGCGUGGGGAGCGAACAGGCUUAGAUACCCUGGUAGUCCACGCUGUAAACGGUGGGUACUAGGUGUGGGGUCCAUUCCACGGGUUCCGUGCCGUAGCUAACGCUUUAAGUACCCCGCCUGGGGAGUACGGCCGCAAGGCUAAAACUCAAAGGAGUUGACGGGGCCCCGCACAAGCGGCGGAGCAUGCGGAUUAAUUCGAUGCAACGCGUAGAACCUUACCUGGGUUUGACAUGGAUCGGGAGUGCUCAGAGAUGGGUGUGCCUCUUUUGGGGUCGGUUCACAGGUGGUGCAUGGCUGUCGUCAGCUCGUGUCGUGAGAUGUUGGGUUAAGUCCCGCAACGAGCGCAACCCUUGUUCACUGUUGCCAGCACGUUAUGGUGGGGACUCAGUGGAGACCGCCGGGGUCAACUCGGAGGAAGGUGGGGAUGACGUCAAGUCAUCAUGCCCCUUAUGUCCAGGGCUUCACGCAUGCUACAAUGGCUGGUACAGAGAGUGGCGAGCCUGUGAGGGUGAGCGAAUCUCGGAAAGCCGGUCUCAGUUCGGAUUGGGGUCUGCAACUCGGCCUCAUGAAGUCGGAGUCGCUAGUAAUCGCAGAUCAGCAACGCUGCGGUGAAUACGUUCCCGGGGCU